ACAAGGUUUCCGUAGGUGAACCUGCGGGAAGGAUCAUUAUCAUACAACGGAGGUGCAAGGGCUGUCGCUGACCUUCAAAGGUUGUGCACGCCCAAGUGCUUUCACACAAUCCAUCUCACCCCUUUUGUGCAUCACCGCGUGGGUCCCCUUUCGUGGGUGGGCUUGCGUUUUCACAUAAAACUUGAUACAGUAUAGAAUGUUUUUUUUUGCAGUUACAUGCAAUCAAUACAACUUUCAACAACGGAUCUCUUGGCUCUCGCAUCGAUGAAGAACGCAGCGAAAUGCGAUACGUAAUGUGAAUUGCAGAAUUCAGUGAAUCAUCGAAUCUUUGAACGCACCUUGCGCCCCUUGGCAUUCCGAGGGGCACACCCGUUUGAGUGUCGUGAAAUUCUCAAAACCCUUUUCUUUCUGGAAAAGGAUUUUUGGACUUGGAGGUUCCAUGCUUGCCUUCUACUUUUGAAAGCGAGCUCCUCUCAAAUAAAUUAGUGGGGUCCACUUUGCUGAUCCUUGACGUGAUAAGAUGUUUCUACGUUUUGGAUUUAGUAUUG
This 548-nucleotide ribosomal RNA is filed under the name Russula sp. O73613. RNAcentral's name for it is "eukaryotic LSU rRNA". The stretch from base 230 to 383 matches the Rfam family "5.8S ribosomal RNA". Lineage: Eukaryota; Fungi; Basidiomycota; Agaricomycetes; Russulales; Russulaceae. The record is from RNAcentral.